Molecule: RNA transcript, 1895 nt
Organism: Chelonia mydas (Green sea turtle)
Lineage: Eukaryota; Metazoa; Chordata; Testudines; Cheloniidae
Gene name: chloride channel protein 2-like
Exons: 9
Source: RefSeq, a predicted model, not a curated record
GGGCUGGGCCGGCUCUAUGGGGAGAUCAUGGCCAAGGUUUUCCCCGAGGGGAUCGUCUCCGACGGGAUCCGCAUCGCCAUCGGCCCCGCGGCCUACGCCCUGGCCGGCGCGGCGGCCUACUCGGGCGCGGUGACCCACACGCUGUCGACGGCCCUGCUGGUGUUCGAGCUGACGGGGCAGAUGUCCCACGUCCUGCCCCUGCUCAUCGCGGUGCUGGUGGCCAACGGGCUCAGCCAGCGGCUCCAGGCCUCCUUCUUCGACGGCAUCAUCAUCGCCAAGCAGCUGCCCUACCUGCCCAAGCUGGGCGUGGGCCGGAGCGGGGCCCACGACAUCUACGCGGAGGAUUUCAUGGUCACGGAUCUCCAAUUCCUGCCCCGGGGCUGCAGGUACAAGGACGUGAGGGGGCUGCUCAAGGCCUCCAGCCUCAAACAGUUCCCCCUCGUGGACUCCCAAGAGUCCAGGAUCUUGCUGGGCUCCAUCCGGCGGAAGCAUCUCGCCAAGCUGCUGUCGGAGCAGCUGAGCGCGGAGAAGCGAUUCCAGCAUCUGCUCUGGCGGACCGAGCUGCUGGGUGCAGACGGCGCUUCAGGGACCCCAGAGGAGAAGCCAGAAACACCGAGAGUUUCUGCUGAGCCGGGCGACGGGGAGACAUCAAAAGAGGAGGAGCGAGGCACCCAACUGUCUGUCAAGAUGAAGGACCCUCCCCCAGCCCUCCCCGAGUCUGCAGGGCGAUUGAAGAGGCGGGGGGGGGGGCUCAAAUCUCCCCCCCUAGCCCCAGACUAUCACAUGUCAGACUUGCGGGUGGCCCAGACUAUCGGGGUUCAGACUGGCCCCCCCAGAUUAUCGGGGUUCAUAUGCGUCUUCGAGUGUUCCCAGGAUGCUUUGCCCCAGCUGCUUGGUGGGGGCUGGUGCAAAGGAUCCUGGGAGGACCCCGGGGAAGGGGGCUGGAGCCAGGGGGAUAUUUCCCAGGAUGCUUUGGCCCGGCUGCUUGGUGGGAGCUGGUGCAAAGGAUUCUGGGAGGACCCCGGGGGAGGGGGCUGGAGCUGGGGAGGAUAUUUCCCAGGAUGCUUUGCCCCGGCUGCUUGGCGGGAGCUGGUGCAAAGGAUUCUGGGAGGACCCCAGGGAAGGGGGCUGGAGCUGGGGAGGAUAUUUCCCAGGAUGCUUUGCCCCGGCUGCUUGGCGGGAGCUGGUGCAAAGGAUUCUGGGAGGACCCCGGGGGAGGGGGCUGGAGCUGGGAAGGAUAUUUCCCAGGAUGCUUUGGCCCGGCUGCUUGGUGGGAGCUGGUGCAAAGGAUUCUGGGAGGACCCCAGGGAAGGGGGCUGGAGCUGGGGGGGAUAUUUCCCAGGAUGCUUUGCCCCGGCUGCUUGGUGGGAGCUGGUGCAAAGGAUUCUGGGAGGACCCCAGGGAAGGGGGCUGGAGCUGGGGAGGAUAUUUCCCAGGAUGCUUUGCCCCGGCUGCUUGGCGGGAGCUGGUGCAAAGGAUUCUGGGAGGACCCCGGGGAAGGGGGCUGGAGCUGGGGAGGAUAUUUCCCAGGAUGCUUUGCCCCGGCUGCUUGGCGGGAGCUGGUGCAAAGGAUUCUGGGAGGACCCCGGGGAGGGCGGAGCCGGCGGGAUAUGUCCCAGGAUGCUUUGCCCGGCUGCAGGUGGAGGACUGGGAGUGCCAGCAGCUGCAGGAGCCGGUCCGGCUGGAGGAGCUGCCCAUCGACCCGGCCCCCUACCGCCUGCUGGAGAACGAGACCCUCUACCAGUGCUAUGAUCUCUUCAACUUGCUGGGCCUGCGGACGGCCUAUGUCACCAACGUGGGCCGGCUGGUCGGGGUGGUGAGCCUCCGAGAGCUCAAAGCCGCGGUGGAGGGGUCGGUCAAGGGCACCUUUGCCAGGCGCCGGCCCCAUGACGGGG